CCUACGGGUGGCAGCAGUGGGGGAUAUUGCACAAUGGGGGGAACCCUGAUGCAGCGACGCCGCGUGGGUGAUGGAGCGUUUCGGCACGUAAAGCCCUAUCGGCAGGGAAGAAGAUGACGGUACCUGACCAAGAAGCCCCGGCUAACUACGUGCCAGCAGCCGCGGUAAUACGUAGGGGGCAAGCGUUAUCCGGAUUUACUGGGUGUAAAGGGGGCGUAGAUGGCAAUGCAAGCCAGGUGUGAAAGCCCGGGGCUCAACCCCGGGACUGCAUUGGAAACUGGAAGGCUGGAGUACAGGAGGGGCAAGCGGAAUUCCUAGUGUAGCGGUGAAAUGCGUAGAUAUUAGGAGGAACACCAGUGGCGAAGGCGGCCUGCUGGACUGUGACUGACGUUGAGGCUCGAAGGCGUGGGGAGCAAACAGGAUUAGAUACCCUUGUAGUC
This 440-nucleotide ribosomal RNA is filed under the name uncultured bacterium. RNAcentral describes it as "partial 16S ribosomal RNA". It matches the Rfam family "Bacterial small subunit ribosomal RNA", at positions 338 to 795 of the family's 1533-position model. The record is from RNAcentral.